This 869-nucleotide ribosomal RNA is filed under the name uncultured Methanosarcinaceae archaeon. RNAcentral's name for it is "bacterial SSU rRNA". It matches the Rfam family "Archaeal small subunit ribosomal RNA", at positions 4 to 879 of the family's 1478-position model. Lineage: Archaea; Methanobacteriati; Methanobacteriota; Methanomicrobia; Methanosarcinales; Methanosarcinaceae. The record is from RNAcentral.
CCGGUUGAUCCUGCCGGCGGCCAUCGCUAUUGGAAUACGAUUAAGACAUGCGAGUCGAGAGACGUAAGGUCUCGGCGGACCGCUCAGUAACACGUGGAUAACAUGCCCUAGGGUGGGGGAUAAUCUCGGGAAACUGAGGGUAAUACCCCAUAGGUCUGAUCUGCUGGAAUGCUUUCAGGCCGAAAACUCCGGUGCCUUAGGAUUGGUCUGCGGUCUAUCAGGCUGUAGUGGGUGUAACGGACCCACUAGCCCGUGACGGAUAUGGGCCUUGAGAGAGGGAGCCCAGAGAUGGACUCUGAGACAUGAGUCCAGGCCCUACGGGGCGCAGCAGUCGCGAAAACUUCGCAAUGGGGGCAACCCCGACGAGGGAAUUCCAAGUGCCAGCACUUUGUGUUGGCUGUUCUCCUGUCUAAAAAACAGGAGGAGUAAGGGGCGGGUAAGACGGGUGCCAGCCGCCGCGGUAAUACCCGCGCCCCUAGUGGUGGUCGAUAUUAUUGAGCCUAAAACGUCCGUAGCCGGUCUUCUAAAUCCUUGGGUAAAUCGGGCAGCUUAACUGUCCGAAGUCCGGGGAGACUGGGAGACUUGGGACCGGGAGAGGUCAGAGGUACUUCUGGGGUAGGGGUAAAAUCCUGUAAUCCUGGAAGGACCACCGGUGGCGAAGGCGUCUGACUAGAACGGAUCCGACGGUGAGGGACGAAGCCCUGGGGCGCAAACGGGAUUAGAUACCCCGGUAGUCCAGGGUGUAAACGCUGCGGGCUUGGUGUUGGGGGUCCUUAGUGGGCGCCCAGUGCCGGAGAGAAGUUGUUAAGCCUGCUGCUUGGGGAGUAUGUCCGCAAGGAUGAAACUUAAAGGAAUUGGCGGGGGAGCAC